Molecule: ribosomal RNA, 264 nt
Filed under: Shigella sp. FC1967
Lineage: Bacteria; Pseudomonadati; Pseudomonadota; Gammaproteobacteria; Enterobacterales; Enterobacteriaceae
Description: partial 16S ribosomal RNA
Rfam family: Bacterial small subunit ribosomal RNA
Source: RNAcentral
UAAAGUCUGUCGUAGUCCGGAUUGGAGUCUGCAACUCGACUCCAUGAAGUCGGAAUCGCUAGUAAUCGUAGAUCAGAAUGCUACGGUGAAUACGUUCCCGGGCCUUGUACACACCGCCCGUCACACCAUGGGAGUGGGUUGCAAAGAAGUAGGUAGCUUAACCUUCGGGAGGGCGCUUACCACUUUGUGAUUCAUGACUGGGGUGAAGUCGUAACAGGUAACCGUAGGGGAACCUGCGGUUGGAUCACCUCCUUACCUAAGAGA